AAAAAUGUUUCAGGUAUAAGGGUAGACAUAUCUGGUGAUAAGAAAUAAAAGGCUCAACAUACACGGCUCAAAUUAGCAAUCUAAUGAUAUCAUUUUUAUUUGGGAAACAUGGUUAUUUGGGCCAUAGUGGUAAACCUAAUGCUUCUAGCAUUUCCAAGUUCAUGCAAUCAAUGACAAACAUUUCGAAAGAUCGUUACGCAAGUUCUAGAGAUGUAUCUCACAUAAGUUCAUCACACAUGAAAGAAUAUGAGUGUAUGAAAAAUGCACACACUUUCAAUCGGCUCAAAAACUCACAUAGGAUGUAUAUGGUCACUAAAUUCACAUAUGAAGCUUUAAGUCAUACUUUAGUUUCACAUUAAAAGGCUAUGUGCAUUUGGUUUUUCAAAGAUGGUCAAACAUGUACAAAAACUAACAAGAGAAUUAGGAAUUUCACAAACACACAUGUUAACUAAGUUCUUGAUGAUCAUGGUUCAAAUUUGAUCCAAUUAUAUCAUUGGUCGGGAAACUAACAAAAAUCUAAUUCAAAACAAUAAGGGAAACAAGACAAUAUUUUUGGAUUUUUAAAUUUUCCGAUUUUUUAAAUUUUUUUUUUAAAAGAAAACAAAACUAAUUAAGAAAACAAAAAGCAACAACACGGAAACAAAUGAAAUUCUAGAGAUGUCUACCCCCACACUUAAACUGGACAUUGUCCCCAAUGUCAGAAAACACUAUAAUGCAAAUAAAUAAAAUAAUAAUAAUCAGAAACAAAAUAAAGCAAUUGGACUGAAAACUUCCCUAGUUUGCAGUAAAACCAAGCGAUGACCCCCAAGCUAAAAUUCUGCAAUCAACUUCAAGGGUGGAAAUAACCAAAAGUUCCUGCAAAAAAAAAAAAAAAAAAAAAAAAAAAGAAUUCAGUUAAGUAACGCAAGAAAAUGUAGAAAAUGCAAACGAAAAAUUGAAAAUGACGAUAAAAGACAAUAAAUAGAACUAAUAAGUGAUCAUUGGUCCGUGCUUGUUGACUUUCCACAGCUUUCCUCUUGAACGGGGUGACACUUAGCUUUUUAUUGCAAGUGAUGAUUUGAUGAUAUGUACGGCGAGGCUUUGCUCUUUAGCGAAGGUGCCCUCCAAAUGUUGUGAAGCUUCCGAGUUCUUGGAUUUAACUCGCACUCCUUUUGCUGAGUUCAUCUCUGCUUGAUUCUUCUAUAUGGCAGGCAGGCAUAAAGUAGCUGUGUUGGUUUGAUUCUUUCUUCAAUCUUUCCAAGUGCCCACCUCUUGCUUUCUUUCUCCUUGUCCCUAGCUGAAGAUGAAUUGGCAAAUUGUCUCCACAUGCUUCGAGGUAUCAUUUUCACUUCCCUUACUUGUCCCCCAAGUAGAUGUGGUAGACAAAACGGAAGCAUAAGAUGAUGAAGAUGAGUACUCGAGAGCAAGGCUAGGUAAGCAAUCAGGAAGGGGUUCUAGACAGUUGGCUCCAGAUCGGAAGAUUUAUACCAAGUGCUGGCUGAUUGCUUGCUUUCUCCUUGUCGUAAAACAAAGACAAGGAGAAGGACAAGGAGAAAGCAUGAUAUGAGAUACUCUUGCUUUCAACCUUCAUGAUAUGAAAUACUUUUGCUUUAGAUGGGUUGUUUGCAGAGGUACCCCAAGGAAUAAGGAACACAGAGUGACUCGAGAGGGUGUGUUGGAAAUACAUU
Molecule: long non-coding RNA, 1667 nt
Filed under: Malus domestica (apple)
Lineage: Eukaryota; Viridiplantae; Streptophyta; Magnoliopsida; Rosales; Rosaceae
Description: long non-coding RNA (MDOM_LNC020487)
Source: RNAcentral